UCCCGAUACCAGCUCACGAUUUGCAAGAGGAAUAUGGUGCGGAUACUCAAAGCAGUGUGCCCAUGCACAUUAUUUCUGCUCUGCAAAGAGAAACCAUGAGAAUGUUAUCGAGGGCAUUCAAUUGAGGGCCCUGAUCUCAUAAUUGAAACCCAGUUGUGAACCAGGCGUAGACGUCUGGCAAUUACGUUGCCUAUUUCUAGACUAUUUCUAGACUAAUAUUCUAUGCUCUGUUUUCUUUCUGUUUCUAUAAGUUUAGCAGUAAUGGUAUCACCAUCUUUUACUUGUUGACCCAUUGGUACGAUACCGUAGUCCUCGCCCACAGGGACCUCUCCCAUGCUGGGAAUUGUAUGGUCAAGUUUGCACAUGUUCUAUCUUGCACAACUGGGUGAAUUCAAGCUUUAUCCUGGGAUUAGGAGUGUAAAAACU
This 426-nucleotide long non-coding RNA is filed under the name Physcomitrium patens. RNAcentral's name for it is "long non-coding RNA (PPAT_LNC007410)". Lineage: Eukaryota; Viridiplantae; Streptophyta; Bryopsida; Funariales; Funariaceae. The record is from RNAcentral.